This 253-nucleotide ribosomal RNA is filed under the name uncultured bacterium. RNAcentral's name for it is "partial 16S ribosomal RNA". It matches the Rfam family "Bacterial small subunit ribosomal RNA", at positions 524 to 776 of the family's 1533-position model. The record is from RNAcentral.
UACGAAGGGGGCUAGCGUUGUUCGGAAUUACUGGGCGUAAAGCGCACGUAGGCGGGUUAUUAAGUCAGGGGUGAAAUCCCGGAGCUCAACUCCGGAACUGCCUUUGAUACUGGUAAUCUAGAGAUCGGAAGAGGUUAGUGGAAUUCCCAGUGUAGAGGUGAAAUUCGUAGGUAUUGGGAAGAACACCAGUGGCGAAGGCGGCUAACUGGUCCGAUACUGACGCUGAGGUGCGAAAGCGUGGGGAGCAAACAGG